UCCCAGGUAGCUCAAAUGGUAAAGAAUCUGCCUGUGAUGCAGGAGACCUGGGUUCAAUCCCUGGGUUGAGAA
Non-coding RNA from Bos taurus (domestic cattle), 72 nucleotides. NCBI's taxonomy places the organism in Eukaryota, Metazoa, Chordata, Mammalia, Artiodactyla, Bovidae. The record is from Rfam.